AUUGAACGCUGGCGGCAGGCUUAACACAUGCAAGUCGAGCGGGGGAAGGUAGCUUGCUACCGGACCUAGCGGCGGACGGGUGAGUAAUGCUUAGGAAUCUGCCUAUUAGUGGGGGACAACAUCUCGAAAGGGAUGCUAAUACCGCAUACGUCCUACGGGAGAAAGCAGGGGAUCUUCGGACCUUGCGCUAAUAGAUGAGCCUAAGUCGGAUUAGCUAGUUGGUGGGGUAAAGGCCUACCAAGGCGACGGUCUGUAGCGGUGCUGAGAGGAUGAGCCGCCACAGCGGGACUGUGACACGGCCCAGACUCCGACGGGAGGUAGCAGUGGGGAAUAUUGGACAAUGGGGGGAACCCUGAGCCAGCCAUGCCGCGUGUGUGAAGAAGGCCUUAUGGUUGUAAAGCACUGUAAGCGAGGAGGAGGCUACUUUAGUUAAUACCUAGAGAUAGUGGACGUUACUCGCAGAAUAAGCACCGGCUAACUCUGUGCCAGCCGCCGCGGUAA
RNAcentral lists this ribosomal RNA (501 nucleotides) under uncultured bacterium. Its description in RNAcentral is "partial 16S ribosomal RNA". It matches the Rfam family "Bacterial small subunit ribosomal RNA", at positions 30 to 523 of the family's 1533-position model. The record is from RNAcentral.